This 235-nucleotide ribosomal RNA is filed under the name uncultured bacterium. Its description in RNAcentral is "partial 16S ribosomal RNA". It matches the Rfam family "Bacterial small subunit ribosomal RNA", at positions 118 to 347 of the family's 1533-position model. The record is from RNAcentral.
UGAGCAAUCUGCCCUUCUCAUCGGAAUAAGCGUUGGAAACGACGUCUAAUGCCGAAUACGACCUCCUUUCGCAUGAUCGGAGGUGGAAAGCUCCGGCGGAGAAGGAUGAGCUCGCGGCCUAUCAGCUAGUUGGUGUGGGUAAUGGCCCACCAAGGCGACGGACGGGUAGCCGGCCUGAGAGGGUGACCGGCCACACUGGGACUGAGACACGGCCCAGACCUCCGUACGGGAGCAG